UUUAGGGUUUAGUAUUUAUGAGUUAGGGUUUGAGUAGUGUUUAUAUUUAGGGAUUAUGGGUUAAUAUUUGGGUUUGGGUUUAGGGUUUAUAUUUGAGUUUAGAGUUUAAUAUUUUAAAAGUGGGGAUUAAGGUUAGGGUUAGCAUUAUCUUUUCUCAUGCAAUUAUAAUCAUUUUAUAAUUUCAGUAAGAUGUACUAUACUAUUAAUUAUUUUCUUCCAUUCCAUUUGUAUUUAGGUUUUAUAGUUAGAUCUAGUUUUGUACUUUGGUUUAGGAUCUAGUGAUUGGAGUUAUGGGUAUGGUUGAAAUAUGGUUUAUGGUUAUUAACAAAUUUAUUCUUAACUCACGAGUCUAUUCAGAAGUUGUACGUAGGAUUAAAAUUCUAUACUACUUUGACGAUAUGAAAUACACAUGAAAUUUUCUAUUUUAUCCAUUUAUUUUAUUGUACAUAGUGAAUGUAUGAAGUAAAUAAGUGUUUAACGUGGCUGGUUUUACAUAAGGUGAUUGUAAAUAAAUGUGACUCACUCUUGUCCACUACUCCAAACGAAGACGUCUCCUCUUUUUCUUUUAUCACCGGAUACUUGUUAAUGACAAGGGCAUUACCGGAUAAAAUGUGGGCCAAAUGUUAGUUUUUUAAUAACGUCAAAAUCAACGUUAUUUUCUUA
Molecule: long non-coding RNA, 663 nt
Filed under: Brassica napus (rape)
Lineage: Eukaryota; Viridiplantae; Streptophyta; Magnoliopsida; Brassicales; Brassicaceae
Description: long non-coding RNA (BNAP_LNC000609)
Source: RNAcentral